AAAUCUUGUUUCCUUAUUUGCAGCUUCACUUGUUCUUAUCAGCUGUAAUAUCUGAUACGUCCUCCAUUGGAGGCUGUGUAUUGAGCACAUUUUUGGUCCUGGGAGGUGGAACUGGAGCUUGCUCCAUCCCCUCCAUGCAUCAGCCUGGUAUUAUAGUGCUUCUUUCUUUCUUUCAUUUGUC
RNAcentral lists this small nuclear RNA (181 nucleotides) under Alligator mississippiensis (American alligator). RNAcentral's name for it is "U2 spliceosomal RNA". It matches the Rfam family "U2 spliceosomal RNA". From Rfam's summary of the family: U2 is a small nuclear RNA (snRNA) component of the spliceosome (involved in pre-mRNA splicing). Complementary binding between U2 snRNA (in an area lying towards the 5' end but 3' to hairpin I) and the branchpoint sequence (BPS) of the intron results the bulging out of an unpaired adenosine, on the BPS, which initiates a nucleophilic attack at the intronic 5' splice site, thus starting the first of two transesterification reactions that mediate splicing. The record is from Rfam by way of RNAcentral. Lineage: Eukaryota; Metazoa; Chordata; Crocodylia; Alligatoridae.